RNAcentral lists this transfer RNA (86 nucleotides) under Desulfovibrio sp. RNAcentral's name for it is "tRNA-Leu". It matches the Rfam family "tRNA". Rfam says of the family: Transfer RNA (tRNA) molecules are approximately 80 nucleotides in length. Their secondary structure includes four short double-helical elements and three loops (D, anti-codon, and T loops). Lineage: Bacteria; Pseudomonadati; Thermodesulfobacteriota; Desulfovibrionia; Desulfovibrionales; Desulfovibrionaceae. The record is from RNAcentral.
GCCGAGGUGGUGGAACUGGUAGACACGCUAUCUUGAGGGGGUAGUGCGUUACGCGCGUGCGGGUUCGAGUCCCGCCCUCGGCACCA